UACGUAGGGGACAAGCGUUGUCCGGAUUUACUGGGCGCAAAGAGCGCGCAGGCGGUCGUUCAAGUCGGGUGUGAAAGCCCCCGGCUCAACUGGGGAGGGUCAUUCGAUACUGAUCGACUCGAAGGCAGGAGAGGGUAGUGGAAUUCCCGGUGUAGUGGUGAAAUGCGUAGAUAUCGGGAGGAACACCAGUGGCGAAGGCGCCUACCUGGCCUGUUCUUGACGCUGAGGCGCGAAAGCUAGGGGAGC
RNAcentral lists this ribosomal RNA (246 nucleotides) under uncultured bacterium. RNAcentral describes it as "partial 16S ribosomal RNA". It matches the Rfam family "Bacterial small subunit ribosomal RNA", at positions 524 to 769 of the family's 1533-position model. The record is from RNAcentral.